UACGAAGGGGGCUAGCGUUGCUCGGAAUCACUGGGCGUAAAGGGUGCGUAGGCGGGUCUUUAAGUCAGGGGUGAAAUCCUGGAGCUCAACUCCAGAACUGCCUUUGAUACUGAGGAUCUCGAGUUCGGGAGAGGUGAGUGGAACUGCGAGUGUAGAGGUGAAAUUCGUAGAUAUUCGGAAGAACACCAGUGGCGAAGGCGGCUCACUGGACGACUGUUGACGCUGAGGUACGAAAGCGUGGGGAGCAAACAGG
This 253-nucleotide ribosomal RNA is filed under the name uncultured bacterium. RNAcentral's name for it is "partial 16S ribosomal RNA". It matches the Rfam family "Bacterial small subunit ribosomal RNA", at positions 524 to 776 of the family's 1533-position model. The record is from RNAcentral.